This is a long non-coding RNA of Phyllostomus discolor (pale spear-nosed bat), 1004 nucleotides long. RefSeq lists it as uncharacterized. The transcript has 2 exons. The record is from RefSeq and is a predicted model, not a curated record. Lineage: Eukaryota; Metazoa; Chordata; Mammalia; Chiroptera; Phyllostomidae.
GCACGCGCCGCGGCCCACCCUCCCCCAGGUGCCCUCCGCCCAGCGGGCGCGCCGGGGGGUGCGGAAGGACGCCGAGGGUGGCGGGAGGGGUGCCCCCGCCAGGAUUUUUUAUUACUUAAUAGCUGCCGCACUGUCUGCUCUUAGGACAGCCACUCUCCUUUGAACAGAGCCGGCCCCUGUUAUUACCGGGGCUCUGCCCGGCCGGAGGUUGCGCCCGCGCGCGCACCGCCGCCGCGCACUGGAGGACGGAGCUCUCCCCCGGCAGCCAUUGGCGCCGACCCGAGUCCGCUGGGGUGCGCCUUCCGCACGGCGCGGGAACCGCGGAGGCCCGGGAGCCCUGCAGCGCUGCGCGGUGGGCGUGGGGCCUGGUACGGUGCCGCCUGCACUGUGCAGACAGGGAUGUCGGGGCCGGGAGCGAUGGAGCAGCUUCAAGUGGCUAGGGAGGGAAUCCAGGGGCGCACAACCAGUGAUUUCUAAUCUGCGAAACCAGUGGUUUCCAACUUGUUCGGCCAAGAAACGGCUCAGCUCAGACGUGGAAUCACGUUGCCGCUUAGUGGAUAAAAACAAAGGCACUGGGUCCACAGAUAAAAGGGUUUGGUGCCAAUCCAGCCUCCCUCACCUACUAGCUGGGUGGCCUGGGACAAGGACUCCGCCUCCCGAGAAGCCCAGAGCCCCCGUCUGCCAAAUGGAGGUCUACACAAAUAUUCACGACAAGCUACGGAGAAAUGUUGGAGUUUCAAGUCUGUCCUCCGAAUCACUAGGCCCUUUCUCCUCAAUACUACCGACUUUUCUGAGUAACUAACUGUGGGCUCCUAAAGUGGGUCCCCUUUCAGAAGUAUUUCAUGAUGCAUCUCCCCAAUACCGACUGCGCCCCCCCCCCCCACUCGCGGCAACCAGUGUAUGGUUCUCCCCCAUGAAAGGGUGGAGCUGAAAAACCCUUGCAGAUAAACCUCCAAGCCCUACUUCCUUUGUUGGGCAGUUAGGAUAAAUUUAACCUGUCAAAA